GGAGGUUCUUCACAAACUGAAAUAAUGUCACCAGGUUCCUUGAAAUCCGUUGAUAAAUAGUCUUGGCACACGGGUUCUAAGUGGGACUCUUGUUCACUAUAAUGAGUCACACCCAGAUCUUCGUCAAUAGGUUCUGACUCGACCAGAGGUUCUUCACAAGCAGGAAUAAUAGGCGCACUCGCUUUUACUACUGGUUCAUUGAAAUCCGUUGGAGGAUAAUCUUGGGAGAUAGAUUUCAAGUUAAGCACCUCCAAUUCUGGUUUACUGUAGUGAGUUUCUCUUUCAUUUAAGUUUGUCAAAGGAUGGUCUUGUUGAACAACUUCUAAAUUCGACCCCUCCAACUGUGGUUCACUGUAAAUUUGAUCCUCGUCAUUAUUUACUUCCUUGGGUUCUUUGGUAAGAAUUCCAGGAUGUCUCUCAAUGGGAGGUUCUUCACAAACUGAAAUAAUGUCACCAGGUUCCUUGAAAUCCGUUGAUAAAUAGUCUUGGCACACGGGUUCUAAGUGGGACUCUUGUUCACUAUAAUGAGUCACACCCAGAUCUUCGUCAAUAGGUUCUGACUCGACCAGAGGUUCUUCACAAGCAGGAAUAAUAGGCGCACUCGCUUUUACUACUGGUUCAUUGAAAUCCGUUGGAGGAUAAUCUUGGGAGAUAGAUUUCAAGUUAAGCACCUCCAAUUCUGGUUUACUGUAGUGAGUUUCUCUUUCAUUUAAGUUUGUCAAAGGAUGGUCUUGUUGAACAACUUCUAAAUUCGACCCCUCCAACUGUGGUUCACUGUAAAUUUGAUCCUCGUCAUUAUUUACUUCCUUGGGUUCUUUGGUAAGAAUUCCAGGAUGUCUCUCAAUGGGAGGUUCUUCACAAACUGAAAUAAUGUCACCAGGUUCCUUGAAAUCCGUUGAUAAAUAGUCUUGGCACACGGGUUCUAAGUGGGACUCUUGUUCACUAUAAUGAGUCACACCCAGAUCUUCGUCAAUAGGUUCUGACUCGACCAGAGGUUCUUCACAAGCAGGAAUAAUAGGCGCACUCGCUUUUACUACUGGUUCAUUGAAAUCCGUUGGAGGAUAAUCUUGGGAGAUAGAUUUCAAGUUAAGCACCUCCAAUUCUGGUUUACUGUAGUGAGUUUCUCUUUCAUUUAAGUUUGUC
Molecule: long non-coding RNA, 1143 nt
Organism: Anthonomus grandis grandis
Lineage: Eukaryota; Metazoa; Arthropoda; Insecta; Coleoptera; Curculionidae
Exons: 3
Source: RefSeq, a predicted model, not a curated record